GGGGCGCCAGCGGUUUGGAACGGGCGCUGCAGGCGCUCUGUGGGGUUUCUCCGCCUUGAACGGGCGCUGACGCCUCCUGAAGAGGGGUCCGGCCCGGAGCUGCUCGGCGGGAAACGGGGCGGGCGCGGCCGUCGCCUCCUCCCCUCAGCACCCCCGCCCCGCCGACCCGCCCGGGGCCGCACUGACAGAAGAUGUGGCAUGGCAGAGUUUGGAAUCACCAUCGCCUGUGUAUCUGAGGGUGACAGAAUGGAAACAAAUGUGAUCUAUAGAUGGAGUUAACAACUGUUACCUGUGUCAAAGAAAGAGACCAAGAACAAGCAUGAGCGGGGAGAAGACCAGCGAAGCCUCACAGCAUGGAAGGAUGUGAAAAAGACCCAACAGCAGAGAAUAAGAGGAUGUGAGCUGUGCUGUGCUCACAAUGAAAUCAUUGGGAAUUUUGGCAUGCAAGCAGAACUGAGUUGUUUUUUCAGGUAGGAAAAAUACUGAAAUUACAAAUACAGAACUCACAUUAAGAGGUUAAGACAGGAAGCUGUUUUCUUCCUGGGAUGAGCCAAGAAGCUACAAAAGCUGGGUCCCUAAGCUUGUGUAUUCUAGCCAAGCCUUGGCAGAAGUCUUGGUUCCAGCAUCCCUUGAGGGUGUUUUUACUUCCUAUAAAUAUAUGUCAUAGUUCUCCCACUGGUUCCUUGAGUUCUAGUGGUCUUCCUUCUCUUUUCCAUCUGAUCAAGAACCUGCACUGUAAUCUAAACUAUACUGGAGUGAACAGAUGUCUUUGCAUUGUCUUUUAAUAGGCUUCGAAUCAGAGCAGAGAGGUUAUAGUUCUUAGGUUUAUAGUUUGAUUUACAGAUUAAUUUGGACAUUUUGCUAUUGUUUUGAUUGGAGCCUCAGAUAGCCCUAGAAAUGGCAGAAGCAGCAAAUACAUAUAACAAGGUUCAUGCCAAUGAGACAACCAAAAGAGUUUAUAUAGGCAGUGCCAAUACGCACAGCAUCUUGGUGGCAGAACCAGGAAUGAAGGCGAAGAGUCCUGACUUCCCUCCUUGUGCUUUCACCAUUCCAUCAUGUAAACUCCCCAAAAUUAUCAUAAAAUUGUGCAAAGAGUAACAUCCAGCAAAGACUAGUUCUGCGUGGCUCCAUUGAGCUUGCCAAGGUUGUUGGGGUACUAAGAGAAGAGACACACAAUUCAUUUUAAGAAGGUUUUUUUUUCCCCAUUUUUGUCAUCUUCUUUGUGGUGGCUUGUGAAAUGCUGGGAAGGAACAGUACAAUGAACAGAAAAUGUUCCAAGGAAGCCGGCCUUCUCCACACCAUUGCCCAACAAGCACCCAGUAUACCAACCACAGAGCUUUGCAUAGGCGUGUAUGACACACAUGGGGACUAUAAUUUCUGCUGGCACGACACCUCUCUUCCUUUCUGAAUCCACAGAGCAGAGAAAAGGCAGAGAAUCAGAGUCUCUCCCUGCCUGGUCAAGGCUCUCGCUCACCUCCAAUACAAAUGCAGGUACAAAAUUAUUGAGUCCAGAUUUUUUUUUGCAUGAUUUAGAGCCAUAAAAUGGGAGCUGCCUUUGAGCACUUGGCUCUUCCUCUCUUGCAAGUUAGGGCCAGAUGCAAAAGAGGACUUAAGCACCUACAACUCAGUAGGUUCCUCCCUACUCAGGAUAACAUUUCUUCCACUACCAGCAACUUUAUGUCUAGACAUGCCCAGAACUGCUGUGACCUGAGCAGCUUAGUACAGAGUUCCCACCUAAAACCCACUGAGAUCCUGAAAGAAGUGUCUAUUUUCUCAGGGCAGCCAAUUCAGAUGGAAUAUUCUGAACAAACCUAAUACACACCAGCAGGACCAGUCCCCUCACACGAUACAGUCAUACCUGCUUUCUUUUAAACUGGACGAGGUGGGAGAGGUGCUCUUUGGCUGGAUGGUUUGGUUUGACUGACAAACCUGAGCAGAGUGGGAGUCAUCCUUAGCCAUUUUGCAAAAGGGUCCAGGCCUGCCCCAGCCUUGUGGGAAUUGUCUGGGAGAAUAAGCAUUCCCUCUGGGAGUGAGAUUGUAAACCUGAAAGUUUCCAACACAAAAACACAAGCCCUUUCAAGGAAAACAUAGAUGUAGAGAAUGAAAAAAGAAGAAAAAAACCCCAAAAACCUGAAGAAACCACAGUUUUUUUGCUGGCUAAUAUCAUGAAAACAUGAUAGUACUUGCAGCUUCCUGCUUGGACCUGGCUUGCUCCAAAGUUAUUUUGUGUGUUAAUCAUGUGGUUUAGAUGAUGAAGAUUAGGUCUGAGUGAGCUCGUUCAGAUAAAAGGGGAAAAGGCAGCAACCCAGCCUUCAACCAAAACUCCAACCUAAAUUUUUCUAAGCUUCAAAUAAAAUAAAUGUAAAAAAAGUACUAACUUUAUUAUUCCUUUGUUUGGCAAUUAAAAUUUUAUUUAAAGGUACUAUUAUUCAUUAGCUACAGUUACUCAUUCAAAGCUUUGAAAGAGCACGAUGCUGUAGGAAGAGCUGGUGUUAUCACUGCAAACAGGUUCACAAAAGUACAUUUCCAUCCCUUUGCCUGAACUGGGCUGUUUAAUGGAACUAAUGUUUUUAAUCUUUUACUGCUUCCAGUGUAACUACCACCGCUAAACAAGUUUCUGCCCAGUUUUGUUUUCUAGGCAUUAAAACUAUGUUCUUUAGCACUUCGCUACGUAAUACAUUUAGAUACCCAUUUUAAAUGGUUAUCUCAGGUGAUGACAUACUUUUUUGCUUGAUUUGCCCAUAGUUGACAUGCGGGGUGCAAGAGAAAUAUGCAUUUAUUCCAUUUAUGCCCAAGACAGACAACUCUUUGCAGAUGUCAAAUUCAUGCAUAACAAGCCCAGUAUUCGCUCAUGCAGACAUUAGGCAUCAAAGUACAAUUGUUGUAACCACUGUCCUCAUCCUUCAUUGCUUUUUAGUUAUGCAGACUGAAAGCCUGGCACUUCCAGAUGUGCUAGACAACAUCUUACACACCCUGUGGACUUGCUGUGGGUCCAUGGGUUUGAUUGCAGAGUCAGAAGACAGUGGGGAAUCAGGCUUUAGGUAUAUUGUAUAUGAACACUUCUGUUUAGAGAAUCAAGACUCCUGUGUUACUGUCCAUUCUAACAAUUUCCAAGAAGAAAAUUAACUCUGUCCCAGCCCAAACCAGGACAUACACCAAUGUGCAGGAAAACUGACUGGAAGUAGCCCCUAGCGGACUACUAUGGGGGAGAGGUUGCUGCCCAGGGAGAUACCAUAACAUUGGUCAUUUCACAAGACAGUUGGACCCUGAUCCUUCCAAAGUACAGGCAAAUAAAUGAGAUGCUCAAAUUAGGAGUCUAACUCCUUCACUGUAGUUACUGGCAAAAUGCAGGUACCUUCAAAAAGAGGUUGAGCUUCCCAAAUGUCAAGGAAACAGGGAUUCUAACAGUUCAGUAAGAUUAAUCUAAGACUUCAAGCCUUACAGCUGAGUAUAUGGAAAGGUAAAGUGUCACAGGACACAAGACUGUGGCAGGCGCUGUCUGGAGACUGCUGUUCAAUCAGUUGAUCCCUCUGCACACCUGCAAUUACUGAUUUUGAGUGGGUAUGAAGGAGGGAGACGCUUUUCGUGACAGUGGCUGUUUGUGCAGCGGUUCAAACCCAACUUCAGUCAGGUUAUAUUAAAAACAGAGUGAGUAAGCCAGCUCUAGAGAGCGACUUCCAUCAUUAUAAACUAAAGAGGCUUGGAUUAACAUUUGAACUUUUUGAAUGCUUAUUCUAAUUCAACCACAGAAUCUUCUGAGAGUGUCAGCCAUCACUAAUUAAGACAUGCAACCAUUUAUCUGUGGUUCAGCCAUGCAUUGAUGCACAGGUUUUGCUUUAGUGGUGUAAAGUGUCUGUGCUGGGGUGAAUGCCACUCAGAUAAAACCAGGCACUAACUCUACACAUUUAUAUUAACUCUCUUCCCCCUUCCAUAGUUGGGAAUAUUACCAUGGCCUCAGAUUUAGAGUGAAAACAAACAACCCACUUCAAAAAUAAACUGCCCUAGGAAGUGUCUUUGAAUUUAUUUUUUUUAAUGCCAAAUAAAAAGAACAUCACAUGUGAAUGUAAAUAAUUUUCCCUGCAGUGAAUGCAGAACAAACAUCCCAGUGUUUUGCGAAUACCUGGAAUAUAAAACUGUUUAUAAACAAUAGCAAAUCUGACAGGUCUGUUUUAUUUCUCUUCCUCCUCCAUAUCACGCAGUGUAAAUUAAUAAAUAUUAAUGAAAAA
RNAcentral lists this long non-coding RNA (4226 nucleotides) under Strigops habroptila (Kakapo). RNAcentral's name for it is "lncRNA (ENSSHBG00005006863.1)". Lineage: Eukaryota; Metazoa; Chordata; Aves; Psittaciformes; Psittacidae. The record is from RNAcentral.